Molecule: ribosomal RNA, 253 nt
Filed under: uncultured bacterium
Lineage: Bacteria
Description: partial 16S ribosomal RNA
Rfam family: Bacterial small subunit ribosomal RNA
Source: RNAcentral
UACGUAGGUGGCAAGCGUUGUCCGGAUUUACUGGGCGUAAAGAGCGCGCAGGCGGUCGUUUAAGUCGAAUGUGAAAGCCCCCGGCUCAACUGGGGAGGGUCAUUCGAUACUGAUCGACUUGAAGGCAGGAGAGGGAAGUGGAAUUCCGGGUGUAGUGGUGAAAUGCGUAGAUAUCCGGAGGAACACCAGUGGCGAAGGCGACUUCCUGGCCUGUUCUUGACGCUGAGGCGCGAAAGCGUGGGGAGCGAACAGG